RNAcentral lists this unclassified non-coding RNA (780 nucleotides) under Hevea brasiliensis (rubber tree). The record is from RNAcentral. Lineage: Eukaryota; Viridiplantae; Streptophyta; Magnoliopsida; Malpighiales; Euphorbiaceae.
GUCUAUUUGUUCAACUUUAUACAAAUUUAAGUGUCUACUUGUGCAAAUCCAAAGUUGAAGGUCAUAAAUGUAAUUCGAAGCCAAGUUAAAGGGCAUAUUUAUGUAUUAUGCCUACAAUCAAUUAGUCUUAUCACCUCAGCGACGCUUUGAUCUCCUGCGUUUACCAAGAAGCUUCAGCAUGUUAUCGGUGACAUCAGGAGGAGAUUUAUCAUCUUCACCAUGAUUCUUGUCAGAUGUUUGAGUUAACCAUGCUAGUGCUUCUAUUGCAGCAUCCUUUUCUGCAAGGGCUUUGUUUCUCUUUGGUUUACCUACAAAUUGCAUUCCCUUGAACUCUGCAAGUGCCCUAAAUUCAUUUGUUUUUAGAUGCUUUGUUUUGUACUUGGGAGGGGAGUGACCCGCCCUCAUAAGUAGCGUCUGCAACAAACUCUUUGGGUUUGUCCCGUCCCUUGUAAAUCUAUCAGCGUCAGAAUCUUUAGGCUUCUUGUUUUCACGACCAAACACAAACCUGCCCUCAGACUGAUCUCCUGAAACCAGUUCCUGAACAGCAAGCAUAAGGUAUUUGCCUUCCUUGUGGAUGUCUACCUCAGGAUCUUGAAGCUUCUUUUGCAAAAGUAUAUCGAGCUCCUCUUUGAGCUUUAUGUAGCAAUCCGCCAGAGAAGGAUCCAUGAAGAACUCUAUGUAUCCACCUAACAUCUUUAAAUGCCCAGCCACAUCUCCACAGUCUAGAGUACUACCAAAUAGGAUCACAAUCGAAUCAGAUACUCCAGUAGAAUCCCGUAU